RNAcentral lists this ribosomal RNA (833 nucleotides) under Kushneria endophytica. Its description in RNAcentral is "bacterial SSU rRNA". It matches the Rfam family "Bacterial small subunit ribosomal RNA", at positions 67 to 891 of the family's 1533-position model. The record is from RNAcentral. Lineage: Bacteria; Pseudomonadati; Pseudomonadota; Gammaproteobacteria; Oceanospirillales; Halomonadaceae.
CGGUAACAGGGGUAGCUUGCUACCCGCUGACGAGCGGCGGACGGGUGAGUAAUGCAUGGGUAUCUGCCCGGUAGUGGGGGAUAACUCGGGGAAACCCGAGCUAAUACCGCAUACGUCCUACGGGAGAAAGCAGGGGAUCUUCGGACCUUGCGCUAUCGGAUGAGCCCAUGUCGGAUUAGCUUGUUGGUGAGGUAACGGCUCACCAAGGCGACGAUCCGUAGCUGGUCUGAGAGGAUGAUCAGCCACACCGGGACUGAGACACGGCCCGGACUCCUACGGGAGGCAGCAGUGGGGAAUAUUGGACAAUGGGGGAAACCCUGAUCCAGCCAUGCCGCGUGUGUGAAGAAGGCCUUCGGGUUGUAAAGCACUUUCAGUGGGGAAGAAGGCAUGAUGAUUAAUACUCGUCAUGAAGGACAUCACCCACAGAAGAAGCACCGGCUAACUCCGUGCCAGCAGCCGCGGUAAUACGGAGGGUGCAAGCGUUAAUCGGAAUUACUGGGCGUAAAGGGCGCGUAGGCGGCUUGCCAAGCCGGAUGUGAAAGCCCCGGGCUCAACCCGGGAACGGCAUUCGGAACUGGUAGGCUAGAGUGCAGGAGAGGAAGGUGGAAUUCCCGGUGUAGCGGUGAAAUGCGUAGAGAUCGGGAGGAAUACCAGUGGCGAAGGCGGCCUUCUGGACUGACACUGACGCUGAGGCGCGAAAGCGUGGGUAGCAAACAGGAUUAGAUACCCUGGUAGUCCACGCCGUACACGAUGUCGACCAGCCGUUGGACCCCUUGAGGGUUUGGUGGCGCAGUUAACGCAAUAAGUCGACCGCCUGGGGAGUACGGCCGCAA